This 46-nucleotide non-coding RNA is filed under the name Trichobilharzia regenti. Lineage: Eukaryota; Metazoa; Platyhelminthes; Trematoda; Strigeidida; Schistosomatidae. The record is from RNAcentral.
GGAUUGCUGAAGAGUCCCAAACUAGGACGAAACAGCUGUCCAGUAC